This 539-nucleotide ribosomal RNA is filed under the name Hyporthodus haifensis (Haifa grouper). Its description in RNAcentral is "partial 16S ribosomal RNA". It matches the Rfam family "Bacterial large subunit ribosomal RNA", at positions 1857 to 2593 of the family's 2925-position model. The record is from RNAcentral. Lineage: Eukaryota; Metazoa; Chordata; Actinopteri; Perciformes; Serranidae.
GCCUGCCCUGUGACUAUAUGUUUAACGGCCGCGGUAUUUUGACCGUGCGAAGGUAGCGCAAUCACUUGUCUUUUAAAUGGGGACCUGUAUGAAUGGCAUAACGAGGGCUUGACUGUCUCCUCUUUCAAGUCAAUGAAAUUGAUCUCCCCGUGCAGAAGCGGGGAUGAAUACAUAAGACGAGAAGACCCUAUGGAGCUUUAGACACUAAAGCAGAUCAUCAUCAACAUCCCCGACAACAGGAAACUAAACCAACUGAACCCUGCCCUAUUGUCUUUGGUUGGGGCGACCGCGGAGAAAUAAAAAACCCCCGCAAGGACCGAAUGUACAACAUUCACAACCAAGAGCGACAGCUCUAAUUAACAGAACAUCUGACCAAUAAGACCCGGCAAUGCCGAUCAAUGAACCGAGUUACCCUAGGGAUAACAGCGCAAUCUCCUCUUAGAGUCCCUAUCGACGAGGAGGUUUACGACCUCGAUGUUGGAUCAGGACAUCCUAAUGGUGCAGCCGCUAUUAAGGGUUCGUUUGUUCAACGAUUAAAG